Micropterus salmoides (largemouth bass) is the source of this 1385-nucleotide long non-coding RNA. RefSeq lists it as uncharacterized. The transcript has 3 exons. The record is from RefSeq and is a predicted model, not a curated record. NCBI's taxonomy places the organism in Eukaryota, Metazoa, Chordata, Actinopteri, Centrarchiformes, Centrarchidae.
AUUGGCCGCAAACGAGAUUGCUUUGCCUUAAUAUGGAUCAUAAUGCAUACUGUCCCCCUUUUGGGUAUAAAGCAUCUGUAUAAAGCAGCGAAUCUCACAAGGGCCGCUACAGCGAAUAAAGUUAUUUCUACAGAAGGAGGGCAGACAUGCCUCGUUUGCUCAAGGAAACUUGGCUCACAGCAGUGUGACUGCUGCCAUGCAGAGAAGCGUAGUGACUGGUCCUUGGACAGCAAAGUGUUACAUUUGCAGUAUUUUAAUUCUCUUUAAAGAUUCAAAGGCAGUGUAGAAAUGCUGAGCAGAUGGCUGUUUGGGAAGGUUUGUAUGCGGUGGUCUCAGUAUCAGGGGAGGGCGGCUGUCCAAACCCCAGCCACUGAUCUAAUGGAUGAAGUGAGUCAUACCCACCUUCAACGCGAACACAACCAUCUCCAUCAAACACACAUGGGCCAACACAAUGAGCCACAUUCAUACAAUGUUUUUCUGGUCACCUCUUUUUGCUUGAGCGCUGUUUUCUACUACAGUACACUCACAUCUGCUUUCAAUACGUGCUCCUGUCUUUUCAUUAGGUCGACUCUUAACAGGCCAUUGGAGUCAAGCACCUGCUUUUCAAAAAUGCAGUAUUUCAACUGUUGCCAAAGCCAUUGUAUCUAAACGGAGGCUGUUGUACUGAGCAGCUGAGCUACUGUUUCUCCAUGACAACUGAGCAAACUCCAUCGAGGAAGGCUGUGGCAUGCGGUUUCAAGGUCCGGAAAAAGCUAAUGCACGGACAGUGUUCUUCCUCCAUCUGUUCUAUUGUCUUGGUGUUCUCUGAGAUGAGGAGCGGAUGCACCACCGAAGGAGACGCAGGAAAUACUCUUGACCCAGAACAACACAGCCAACUUCUUCUAGCCCUUUGCAUGGUGGCUUCAGAUGCAAGUACAUCUUGGUUCAGGUAGUCACUAUUGCAUAAUCAGUCAUUUCUCAAUCUUUUUUGUUGUUUUACAAGAUGGAGCAAUCAGUCUCCAUCACUGUGAUCCAAAAGGACAAACAUUGUUCCACACAAGAAUUCAGUCUUCAUUUGUUCCUUUUUCCUUUCACCUUUUUCAACAGUGUAGCAUGCUUGAUGUAGUGGAAAAUUCCUUGAGUUGUACAGUUGUCAGAGGACUAAUAAGGAGCAGGAAGGUCUUACGGGUGUACAUGUCAAGGUCUUUGUCAUCUUUAACAUGACUCCACAUAAACAGCAGUAGGCUCGCUUAAGACGGCCUGUCAGGCACACUCCAGAAAUAGACCUUCUGGUCGAGCAUUCAGAUUUACAAGGUAAAGCUAUAUAUUUUUAAACGGAAAAAAAUAAAAGUGAGCCCUGUAAAGAGAGAGGUAUAUUAUGCUAAAUAAAGAGCGUUGUGUGUAAA